RNAcentral lists this ribosomal RNA (253 nucleotides) under uncultured bacterium. Its description in RNAcentral is "partial 16S ribosomal RNA". It matches the Rfam family "Bacterial small subunit ribosomal RNA", at positions 524 to 776 of the family's 1533-position model. The record is from RNAcentral.
GACGGAGGAUGCAAGCGUUAUCCGGAAUGAUUGGGCGUAAAGCGUCCGCAGGUGGCAGUUCAAGUCUGCUGUCAAAGACCGGGGCUUAACUUCGGAAAGGCAGUGGAAACUGAACAGCUAGAGUAUGGUAGGGGCAGAGGGAAUUCCUGGUGUAGCGGUGAAAUGCGUAGAGAUCAGGAAGAACAUCGGUGGCGAAGGCGCUCUGCUGGACCAUAACUGACACUCAGGGACGAAAGCUAGGGGAGCGAAUGGU